This 68-nucleotide microRNA precursor is filed under the name Aquilegia coerulea. RNAcentral's name for it is "Aquilegia caerulea miR167 stem-loop (aqc-MIR167)". Its record names the gene aqc-MIR167. Lineage: Eukaryota; Viridiplantae; Streptophyta; Magnoliopsida; Ranunculales; Ranunculaceae. The record is from miRBase by way of RNAcentral.
UCAAGCUGCCAGCAUGAUCUAAAAAUCUCUGCAUGUGGGGAUUAUCAGAUCAUGCUGCAGUUUAACCU